Molecule: ribosomal RNA, 256 nt
Filed under: uncultured bacterium
Lineage: Bacteria
Description: partial 16S ribosomal RNA
Rfam family: Bacterial small subunit ribosomal RNA
Source: RNAcentral
UACGUAGGCAGCAAGCGUUUGUUCGGAGUUACUGGGCGUAAAGGGUGCGUAGGCGGUCGCGCAAGUCUGAUGUGAAAGCCCACGGCUCAACCGUGGAGGGUCAUUUGGAAACUGGGGAACUUUGAGUGCAGAAGAGGAAAGUGGAAUUCCAAGUGUAGCGGUGAAAUGCGUAGAGAUUUUGGAGGAACACCAGUGGCGAAGGCGACUUUCUGUCUGUAACUGACACUGAGGCGCGAAAGCGUGGGGAGCGAACAGG